CAUGCAAGUCGAACGGUAGCACAGAGAGCUUGCUCUCGGGUGACGAGUGGCGGACGGGUGAGUAAUGUCUGGGAAACUGCCUGAUGGAGGGGGAUAACUACUGGAAACGGUAGCUAAUACCGCAUAACGUCGCAAGACCAAAGAGGGGGACCUUCGGGCCUCUUGCCAUCAGAUGUGCCCAGAUGGGAUUAGCUAGUAGGUGGGGUAACGGCUCACCUAGGCGACGAUCCCUAGCUGGUCUGAGAGGAUGACCAGCCACACUGGAACUGAGACACGGUCCAGACUCCUACGGGAGGCAGCAGUGGGGAAUAUUGCACAAUGGGCGCAAGCCUGAUGCAGCCAUGCCGCGUGUAUGAAGAAGGCCUUCGGGUUGUAAAGUACUUUCAGCGGGGAGGAAGGUGAUGAGGUUAAUAACCUUGUCGAUUGACGUUACCCGCAGAAGAAGCACCGGCUAACUCCGUGCCAGCAGCCGCGGUAAUACGGAGGGUGCAAGCGUUAAUCGGAAUUACUGGGCGUAAAGCGCACGCAGGCGGUCUGUCAAGUCGGAUGUGAAAUCCCCGGGCUCAACCUGGGAACUGCAUUCGAAACUGGCAGGCUGGAGUCUUGUAGAGGGGGGGUAGAAUUCCAGGUGUAGCGGUGAAAUGCGUAGAGAUCUGGAGGAAUACCGGUGGCGAAGGCGGCCCCCUGGACAAAGACUGACGCUCAGGUGCGAAAGCGUGGGGAGCAAACAGGAUUAGAUACCCUGGUAGUCCACGCUGUAAACGAUGUCGACUUGGAAGGUUGUUCCCUUGAAGGAGUGGCUUUCCGGAGCUAACGCGUUAAGUCGACCGCCUGGGGGAGUACGGCCGCAAGGUUAAAACUCAAAUGAAUUGACGGGGGCCCGCACAAGCGGUGGAGCAUGGGGGUUUAAUUCGAUGCAACGCGAAAAACCUUACCUACUCUUGACAUCCACGGAACUUAGCAGAGAUGCUUUGGUGCCUUCGGGAACUCUGAGACAGGUGCUGCAUGGCUGUCGUCAGCUCGUGUUGUGAAAUGUUGGGUUAAGUCCCGCAACGAGCGCAACCCUUAUCCUUUGUUGCCAGCGAUUCGGUCGGGAACUCAAAGGAAACUGCCAUUGAUAACCUGGAGGAAAGGUGGGGGAUGACGUCAAGUCAUCAUGGCCCUUACAAGUAGGGGUACCACCGUGCUACAAUGGCAUUUUCAAAAAAAAACGACCUCCCCGAAGCAACCGGACCUCCUAAAGUAUGUCUUAUUCCGGGAUGGGAGUUCGCACUCCACCCCUUGAAGUCGGAAUCGCUAGUAAUCGUGGAUCAGAAUGCCACGGUGAAUACGUUCCCGGGCCUUGUACACACCGCCCGUCACACCAUGGGAGUGGGUUGCAAAAGAAGUAGGUAGCUUAACCUUCGGGAGGGCGCUUACCCACUUUGUAUU
This 1431-nucleotide ribosomal RNA is filed under the name Klebsiella sp. EC1.1. Its description in RNAcentral is "bacterial SSU rRNA". It matches the Rfam family "Bacterial small subunit ribosomal RNA". The record is from RNAcentral. Lineage: Bacteria; Pseudomonadati; Pseudomonadota; Gammaproteobacteria; Enterobacterales; Enterobacteriaceae.